This 462-nucleotide long non-coding RNA is filed under the name Sorghum bicolor (sorghum). RNAcentral's name for it is "long non-coding RNA (SBIC_LNC016922)". The record is from RNAcentral. Lineage: Eukaryota; Viridiplantae; Streptophyta; Magnoliopsida; Poales; Poaceae.
UUUAGUUGGUGAAAAUUUUUUAUUUUAGAUACCGUAGCACUUUCAUAUCUUUUGCUGGCCGGGACGGAGGGUUGACUUUGGGGGAUCAUCUCAUCAUCCUAUGAUCCUGUCUCUUCUCGGACAGUCGGACGCGCUGCCUUUGCACUUGUCAUACAUUUGUUUAGACAUGGAUGGGACGCGUUACCUUGCACUGUGUGUAGUGGAGUACCGGUCUUGUUUAGUUCAUAAAAAAAUAAAAACUUUUUAAAAUUUCUAUCAUAUUGAAUCUUACGGUACAUAUAUAUAGAACAUUAAAUAUAGAUAAAAAUAAAAACUAAUUACACAAUUUGUCUAUAAAUCACGAGACGAAUCUUUUAAACCUAGUUACUCCAUAAUUAGAUAAUAUUUAUUAAAUAAAAAUAAAAAUAUUACAGUGUCAAAACCUAAAAAAUUUUUUGAUCUAAACAAGACCUUAAGACCUGU